AGCCCGCCCACCCCACGGGCCGCCCAGAACCCCCGUCCCGGGGAAGGGCUGAACGGGCUCCCGCGCCGGCCUCGGGGUCGGGGCUCUGGAGGACACGACCCCACAGGACCGUGUCAGCCCGUCUGCGACAGGUGGCACGUACCUGCCUCUUCUCCGAGGAUGGACGAGUCGAGCCGGGCACAAGCAUGGAGCUGCGGGUGAGUCCCGGCUGGUACUGGCGCGGCGCAGUGAGCAGCAGCUGACGCAGAGGGCUCCCUGGCCUCGGCUCCUGCCCGCCUCUCCCCCACCUCCGCCGGGGGCCCAGAAAGGACCUCCCCGGGAAAUAGGCGCCACCCAGCGGGCAGCCGCCUCAUUGCGCCCGGCCGGCAAAACCACGCCGCGCGUCUCGCGUCACUGAGAUGCGUCAAGGCUAUUGGCUUGUUCCCAUUGUGACGUCAGGAGAGCCCCGCCCGGCCUGGGUCUCCCAGGCGACCGGUAUACACAGAGAAGCACGUGGAGGCAAAGCCCGCGAGUUUGGAAGGGGUGGAGCUCGACCGGAAGCGGACUGGUUAUGUGUACUAUUCUUAUCUCCAUUUUACAAAUGAGGAAACUGAGGCACAGAGAAGCUCAUCAACAGGUAAGAGCCGGGGCUGUUAACACUAUGCAAUUCUCUCUACUAAGUGAUCCGCCUUGCAGACCAUUCUCCAAAUCAGCGCUCUUUUUAAAGACACGGAGCAGGUCACGUCCUGCGCCUCUUUAAAACCCUUCAGUGGCUCGAUGUCUUGUCCUUCCUCUUAGAAUAAAACCCAGAUUCCUACAAGGGAUUGCGCGUGUAGGCCCCACAUCUCAUUGCCUUACCUAGCAUCAUCUUUCCUGCCAGCACUGCACUUGGCAGGCUGUUUGGCAAGUCUUGUCCCACCUCAGGGCCUUUGCAUUCACUCUCUGUUUGUCUAGACAAGUGGUUCGCUCCUGGGGCUAUUCCCUCUUCUUCCUCUCCCCAGCGACACUUGCCCACUUCUGGAGAUACUUUUGGUUGUCACAAUUGGGGCCGGGGGAGGGGCUACUGGCAGGGAUGAGAGCGACCAGAGUUGCUGCUAAACAUCCUGCAAUGGACAGGACCAUCCCCACCGCAAAGAAUUAUCUGGCCCCAAAUGUCAAUAAUUGAUAAACCUGUCUCUGUGUAUUCAUUCAAAGUCACGUCUCUGUGUAUUCAUUCAUAUGAUUCAUUCACUUUCAACUGUAGAUGUUGGCAGAAAAUGUCUUCCUGACUGUCCUAUUUAAAGGAGAGCUAGCCUCAUGCCCCACCCAAGUUAUCUCCAUCAUUUUCCUAAUUAUUAGCGCUUUUGCUUUGUUUUGUUCUUCUAGUUUCUUGGGUUCAAUGCAUUAGGCCACUGUUUCUAAUCUUUUGAGAAAAUACCUUAGUGAGAUAUUCUAGGUUUUUAAAUCUGGGUCAUGUAUGGUCUUUAAAUUUUUUUUUUCUAUAUUUUUGUGUGACUAUUAUUGGAGUCUAGUUUACAUUAUACUUUUUAACCUAUUAGUGUUAUCAUGUCCAUAGGUACUAGUGUUUGAGAAGCACGUUUGUUUAUUGAAUUCACUCAAUGUUGACUGAAUUAAAUGUGUUCAAAAUGCUAUAGAUAUUUGUGCUGUUUAAUACAGUACGGUGACAUGUACCAUUUAAAUAAAGUUAAGCUAAUUAAAAAGAAAUAGAAUUAGGGGCGCCUGGGUGGCGCAGUCGGUUAAGCGUCCGACUUCAGCCAGGUCACGAUCUCGCGGUCCGGGAG
This is a long non-coding RNA of Felis catus (domestic cat), 1760 nucleotides long. RefSeq lists it as uncharacterized. NCBI's taxonomy places the organism in Eukaryota, Metazoa, Chordata, Mammalia, Carnivora, Felidae. The transcript is spliced from 3 exons. The record is from RefSeq and is a predicted model, not a curated record.